Molecule: long non-coding RNA, 1431 nt
Organism: Callorhinus ursinus (northern fur seal)
Lineage: Eukaryota; Metazoa; Chordata; Mammalia; Carnivora; Otariidae
Source: RefSeq, a predicted model, not a curated record
AUUGGUCAGAAGGAGGAGCCGCUGCUCCUGGACCGCAGUUGACUGUGGGUAACAAACCUCUGAGAGCAAAACCAAACUGCAGAUAAGAGGGAACGGCUGCUAUUGUGUGCCUAACGUCAUGCUUGGAGCCUUAGCGAAUGUGGAAGAAAUAAAGUAAGACACUUCCAAGCCUGAUAGACGGCACUUCAUCUCCUGUGGCCACCAUGCACAAAAAUCCUAACCCUUCUUUAAAGACCCAACUUGAGAGAGUCCUACUUCCUUCAAAACUUUCUGUGACCAUUUCAGUACUCAGAGCUGGGUCCUUCCUCUGAGUUCCUGAAGUCCCGUUUAUUUCUCCUGAGAGAACUUCCUCAGUAAAUCACUUACACAAGAACCCCUGUCUUAAGCUCUGCUUCUAUGGAUACUGAUCCAAGACAGAAGAGUAUGGAAAUACUGGAGUAACUGACAGAAAAGGGAACUUAAGAGAAGGGUGCUAAUUUGGAUUUGUUUCAUAAAUACUAUCAAUCCUUACCAGUAUAGUCUGAAUUCUCUUGGAUCACCCAUCACACAGGAUGCACCCUGCAUGCGUGCGCACAGCCACUGGAGGCAACUUUGAGAUACUGAAGAAGUAAGGCAUCUUUCAAAUACAUUUGAUCUAAAAUUGACUUUCUGAUAUCACUUCUUUAACUAGGGACCCAAAGGCCCAUUGAACUAGUCCUAAAUGCAUUUUAUUGAGUGACCCAAAUUUUAAGAUCUAAGUACUUUUCAGAUAGAGAAUGGAGAACCCAUGAACACCUAGGGAUCAGCAAAACAUCCCCAACAAUUUUCCAAGUGUUUUAUUUUUGGCAAAACUCAAUUUAACUCAUUUUGCAAGCACUCUUCCCUCCAGUUUUUAAACCCAUGGGUCUUUCAAAGGAAAUUUAAUCCAUAUGUUUCUGAUUCAUUUACAUUUUAAGUCAUAAAAAUGUUAUUUUUAUAAGAGCUGUUUGAUAUCCAAGAAACUUUCUGAGCCUUUUAAAAAAUCUCUUUAAAGUCUUGUUGGUUGGAGCCAGGGAGCAGACAUGGUGUGUGAUGCACCACCCGAAAAUGUGAUCCAGACACUCAACCAUAGACUGACCUCAGAACAAUGCUUGCCACACUGAGCCAAAAAAAUAAUGGCAACGAGAUGAUCAAGAAAGUUGGUCUGGACACCAGAGAAUCCUUAAGAAACACAAAAGAAGCCAAUGGCAAAUGAUAGCAAAGGUUAAGGUAGUAUUCAUCAGUGUGUCAUUGAUGUGUUUGGGCAUAUAAGGACCAGACUUUCCUAUGUUACAGCAAGCUAUCAUUUCUGGCAGCUUUCAGGAAGAUCUGCAGGCUUCUUCAGGACAAAGUCCAGUAUCAUCACCCAAAUAUUUUAUGUGAAGAAAAUCGUGCCUUUUCUCAGUAUUGUAUAUAAUAGUAAAACAUCAGAAA